AUAAGAUUGUGCCACGUGUCAGGU
Molecule: non-coding RNA, 24 nt
Filed under: Arabidopsis thaliana (thale cress)
Lineage: Eukaryota; Viridiplantae; Streptophyta; Magnoliopsida; Brassicales; Brassicaceae
Source: RNAcentral